AUACGGAGGAUGCAAGCGUUAUCCGGAUUUAUUGGGUUUAAAGGGUGCGUAGGCGGAGGAGUAAGUCAGGGGUGAAAUGCCGCAGCUCAACUGCGGAACUGCCUUUGAUACUGCUUUUCUGGAGUCCGGAUGCCGUGGGAGGAAUGGGCAGUGUAGCGGUGAAAUGCAUAGAUAUUGCCCAGAACACCGAUUGCGAAGGCAUCUCACGAAUCCGGGACUGACGCUGAGGCACGAAAGCGUGGGGAUCAAACAGGAUUAGAUACCCUGGUAGUCCACGCAGUAAACGAUGAUAACUAACCGUCGGCGAUAGACAGUCGGUGGCCAAGCGAAAGCGAUAAGUUAUCCACCUGGGGAGUACGUUCGCAAGAAUGAAACUCAAAUGAAUUGACGGGG
RNAcentral lists this ribosomal RNA (393 nucleotides) under uncultured bacterium. RNAcentral describes it as "partial 16S ribosomal RNA". It matches the Rfam family "Bacterial small subunit ribosomal RNA", at positions 523 to 918 of the family's 1533-position model. The record is from RNAcentral.